UGCACACUCAGGAUCAUUACCUCAGGUAUGGCCCUCCUGUGCCUCCACCCCAGGUGCACACUCACACACGAUCAUUACCUCAGGUAUGGCCCACCUGUGCUUCCCCCCCAAGUGCACACUCACACAC
Long non-coding RNA from Octodon degus (degu), 127 nucleotides. RefSeq lists it as uncharacterized. The record is from RefSeq and is a predicted model, not a curated record. The transcript is spliced from 3 exons. Lineage: Eukaryota; Metazoa; Chordata; Mammalia; Rodentia; Octodontidae.